AGAGGUGGUUGGGUCCUGAGAGCUCUGCCCUUAUGAAUGGAUUAGUAUCAUUAUUGCAGGAGUGGCUUCAUGAUGGAGAGAGUGGAUUUGUCAUGAAAGUGAGUUCGGCCAUUCCUUGCUGUCUCACGUGCCACCUCUUGCCAUGGGAUGCCCUCGCCAUGGGAUGACAGCAAGAAGGCCCUUGCUUGAGUGAGCCCCUCCAUCUUCGGCUCUCCGGCCUCCAGGACUGUUAGAAAUACAUCUCUGUUCUUUGUAAAUUACCCAGGCUGUAGUACUCUGUUAUAGCAACACAAAACAGACUAAGACACUACUAUGUAGAUGAAGAAACAGGCCCAAGAGGUGAGGAGUGUUGUCCAGGUCUUCUGGCCAGAGGAGCGGCAGAGAUGGGAUUUCAACCCUGGGACUGUGUGGCUUGUGACCACUCCUAGCUUCAGCCCUGCCCGGUGCUGAGGGGUUUGGGGCCAGAACGAUGGCCAGAUGUUUGGGCACACUGGGCCCUACCCACCUGGAAAGAGGCUGGCCUGGGGUUGAAUGAGAACCAGAAGUGACUCAGGCUAGGACCCCUCUGCACCCUCCCUCAGGCCGUGGGUAAUUACCUGCCCAGGUUAAUAGCGCCCACUUCCCGCCACCUUUCAUCAAGGCUCCUGGAGCUGCCAGGCAGUAAUUAACCCUCACAGCACCCUUCUGAAGUCAGCACUGGAGGCAGACGUGUGAUGAAACACGUUUAUUACAGGAAGCACCAGUUAGCCCAGAUGCUUCUCAUCUUUGGAGUUGAGCUGCAGGCUGGAGACCUGGAAGGCCCUCGCAGCGCCUGCUCCCAUCCUCUCACCUCACGAAAGCGCAGGAAUGUGGGUUUGGAGCCAAUGAAAAGUACUGGAAUCUGGCUCUGCUCUGUGACCCUGGACAAGUCACUGCCCCUCUCUGGGCUUCAGUUUCCUCCUUG
This 943-nucleotide long non-coding RNA is filed under the name Homo sapiens (human). RNAcentral's name for it is "long intergenic non-protein coding RNA 1270". Lineage: Eukaryota; Metazoa; Chordata; Mammalia; Primates; Hominidae. The record is from RNAcentral.